AGAGUUUGAUUCUGGCUCAGAACGAACGCUGGCGGCGUGGAUUAGGCAUGCAAGUCGAACGAUCCCGAUUAUUCGGGAUAGUGGCAAAAGGGCGAGUAACACGUGGGUAACCUACCUUCGAAACCGGGAUAACUUUGCGAAAGCGAGGCUAAUACCGGAUAAGACCACGGUUCAUAAGAACUGCGGCAAAAGGAAGCCUCUAUUUAUAAGCUACCAUUUGGAGAGGGGCCUGCGUCCUAUCAGCUAGUUGGUGAGGUAACGGCUCACCAAGGCUAUUGACGGGUAGCUGGUCUGAGAGGAUGGUCAGCCGCACUGGGACUGAGACACUGCCCAGACUCCUACGGGAGGCUGCAGUCGAGAAUCUUUAGCAAUGCCCGAAAGGGUGACUAUGCGACGCCGCGUGAGUGAUGAAGGUCUUCGGAUUGUAAAACUCUGUCAAGUGGGAUGAAUACUCCAACCAUAACAUGGUUGGAGGGUGACAGUACCACUGAAGGAAGCCACGGCUAACUCCGUGCCAGCAGCCGCGGUAAUACGGAGGUGGCAAGCGUUGUUCGGAUUUAUUGGGUGUAAAGGGCAGGUACGGAAGAGGAGAACGGAAUUCCCGGUGUAAGGGUGAAAUCUGUAGAGAUCGGGAAGAACACCAGUGGCGAAAGCGGUUCUCUAGUACGUUACUGACACUGAACUGCGAAAGCUAGGGGAGCAAACAGGAUUAGAUACCCUGGUAGUCCUAGCCGUAAACGAUGAGCACUAGGUGCGGGCUCGCAAGGGUCUGUGCCGCAGUUAACACAUUAAGUGCUCCACCUGGGGACUACGGCCGCAAGGUUGAAACUCAAAGAAAUUGACGGGGACCCGCACAAGCGGUGGAGCAUGUGGUUUAAUACGACGCUACGCGUGGAACCUUACCAGGAUUUGACAUCCCGCCUCAUGCCGUAGCUGAAAGGCCGGGGCUGCGCAAGCAGGGUGGGACAGGUGUUGCAUGGCUGUCGUCAGCUCGUGUCGUGAGAUGUUGGGUUAAGUCCCGCAACGAGCGCAACCAUUGUCUUUAGUUGCUAACCAGUAAUGGAGCACUCUAGAGAGACUGCCGGUGUUUUAACCGGAGGAAGGUGGAGAUGACGUCAAGUCAGUACGGCCCUUACAUCCUGGGCUACACACGUGCUACAAUGGCCGGUACAAAGGGCAGCAAAUCCGCGAGGAUGAGCAAAUCCCAAAAAGCCGGCCUCAGUUCGGAUUGAGGGCUGCAGUUCGCCUUCAUGAAGUUGGAAUCGCUAGUAUCCGCGCAUCAGCUACGGCGCAGUGAAUACGUUCCCGGGUCUUGUACACACCGCCCGUCAAGCCACCUGAGUCGAGUGCACCCGAAGCCGCCAUACCAACCCGCAAGGGGGGAAGGCGUCGAAGGUGUGUUCGGUAAGGAGGGCUAAGUCGUAACAAGGUA
This 1432-nucleotide ribosomal RNA is filed under the name metagenome. Its description in RNAcentral is "bacterial SSU rRNA". It matches the Rfam family "Bacterial small subunit ribosomal RNA". The record is from RNAcentral.